CAUGUAGGCGGGCUAUUAAGUCUGGUGUGAAAGCCCGGGGCUCAACCCCGGAAGUGCAUUGGAUACUGGUAGUCUUGAGUAUGGGAGAGGAAAGUGGAAUUCCGAGUGUAGGAGUGAAAUCCGUAGAUAUUCGGAGGAACACCAGUGGCGAAGGCGGCUUUCUGGACCAAUACUGACGCUGAGAUGCGAAAGCGUGGGGAGCGAACAGGAUUAGAUACCCUGGUAGUCC
Molecule: ribosomal RNA, 229 nt
Filed under: uncultured bacterium
Lineage: Bacteria
Description: partial 16S ribosomal RNA
Rfam family: Bacterial small subunit ribosomal RNA
Source: RNAcentral